This 2900-nucleotide ribosomal RNA is filed under the name Escherichia coli. RNAcentral describes it as "partial 23S ribosomal RNA". It matches the Rfam family "Bacterial large subunit ribosomal RNA". The record is from RNAcentral. Lineage: Bacteria; Pseudomonadati; Pseudomonadota; Gammaproteobacteria; Enterobacterales; Enterobacteriaceae.
GUGGAUGCCUUGGCACUAGAAGCCGAUGAAGGACGUUACUAACGACGAUAUGCUUUGGGGAGCUGUAAGUAAGCUUUGAUCCAGAGAUUUCCGAAUGGGGAAACCCAACAUGAGUUAUGUCAUGUUAUCGAUAUGUGAAUACAUAGCAUAUCAGAAGGCACACCCGGAGAACUGAAACAUCUUAGUACCCGGAGGAAGAGAAAGAAAAUUCGAUUCCCUUAGUAGCGGCGAGCGAAACGGGAAGAGCCCAAACCAACAAGCUUGCUUGUUGGGGUUGUAGGACACUCUAUACGGAGUUACAAAGGACGACAUUAGACGAAUCAUCUGGAAAGAUGAAUCAAAGAAGGUAAUAAUCCUGUAGUCGAAAAUGUUGUCUCUCUUGAGUGGAUCCUGAGUACGACGGAGCACGUGAAAUUCCGUCGGAAUCUGGGAGGACCAUCUCCUAAGGCUAAAUACUCUCUAGUGACCGAUAGUGAACCAGUACCGUGAGGGAAAGGUGAAAAGCACCCCGGAAGGGGAGUGAAAUAGAACCUGAAACCGUGUGCUUACAAGUAGUCAGAGCCCGUUAAUGGGUGAUGGCGUGCCUUUUGUAGAAUGAACCGGCGAGUUACGAUUUGAUGCAAGGUUAAGCAGUAAAUGUGGAGCCGUAGCGAAAGCGAGUCUGAAUAGGGCGUUUAGUAUUUGGUCGUAGACCCGAAACCAGGUGAUCUACCCUUGGUCAGGUUGAAGUUCAGGUAACACUGAAUGGAGGACCGAACCGACUUACGUUGAAAAGUGAGCGGAUGAACUGAGGGUAGCGGAGAAAUUCCAAUCGAACCUGGAGAUAGCUGGUUCUCUCCGAAAUAGCUUUAGGGCUAGCCUCAAGUGAUGAUUAUUGGAGGUAGAGCACUGUUUGGACGAGGGGCCCCUCUCGGGUUACCGAAUUCAGACAAACUCCGAAUGCCAAUUAAUUUAACUUGGGAGUCAGAACAUGGGUGAUAAGGUCCGUGUUCGAAAGGGAAACAGCCCAGACCACCAGCUAAGGUCCCAAAAUAUAUGUUAAGUGGAAAAGGAUGUGGCGUUGCCCAGACAACUAGGAUGUUGGCUUAGAAGCAGCCAUCAUUUAAAGAGUGCGUAAUAGCUCACUAGUCGAGUGACACUGCGCCGAAAAUGUACCGGGGCUAAACAUAUUACCGAAGCUGUGGAUUGUCCUUUGGACAAUGGUAGGAGAGCGUUCUAAGGGCGUUGAAGCAUGAUCGUAAGGACAUGUGGAGCGCUUAGAAGUGAGAAUGCCGGUGUGAGUAGCGAAAGACGGGUGAGAAUCCCGUCCACCGAUUGACUAAGGUUUCCAGAGGAAGGCUCGUCCGCUCUGGGUUAGUCGGGUCCUAAGCUGAGGCCGACAGGCGUAGGCGAUGGAUAACAGGUUGAUAUUCCUGUACCACCUAUAAUCGUUUUAAUCGAUGGGGGGACGCAGUAGGAUAGGCGAAGCGUGCGAUUGGAUUGCACGUCUAAGCAGUAAGGCUGAGUAUUAGGCAAAUCCGGUACUCGUUAAGGCUGAGCUGUGAUGGGGAGAAGACAUUGUGUCUUCGAGUCGUUGAUUUCACACUGCCGAGAAAAGCCUCUAGAUAGAAAAUAGGUGCCCGUACCGCAAACCGACACAGGUAGUCAAGAUGAGAAUUCUAAGGUGAGCGAGCGAACUCUCGUUAAGGAACUCGGCAAAAUGACCCCGUAACUUCGGGAGAAGGGGUGCUCUUUAGGGUUAACGCCCAGAAGAGCCGCAGUGAAUAGGCCCAAGCGACUGUUUAUCAAAAACACAGGUCUCUGCUAAACCGUAAGGUGAUGUAUAGGGGCUGACGCCUGCCCGGUGCUGGAAGGUUAAGAGGAGUGGUUAGCUUCUGCGAAGCUACGAAUCGAAGCCCCAGUAAACGGCGGCCGUAACUAUAACGGUCCUAAGGUAGCGAAAUUCCUUGUCGGGUAAGUUCCGACCCGCACGAAAGGCGUAACGAUUUGGGCACUGUCUCAACGAGAGACUCGGUGAAAUCAUAGUACCUGUGAAGAUGCAGGUUACCCGCGACAGGACGGAAAGACCCCGUGGAGCUUUACUGUAGCCUGAUAUUGAAAUUCGGCACAGCUUGUACAGGAUAGGUAGGAGCCUUUGAAACGUGAGCGCUAGCUUACGUGGAGGCGCUGGUGGGAUACUACCCUAGCUGUGUUGGCUUUCUAACCCGCACCACUUAUCGUGGUGGGAGACAGUGUCAGGCGGGCAGUUUGACUGGGGCGGUCGCCUCCUAAAAGGUAACGGAGGCGCUCAAAGGUUCCCUCAGAAUGGUUGGAAAUCAUUCAUAGAGUGUAAAGGCAUAAGGGAGCUUGACUGCGAGACCUACAAGUCGAGCAGGGUCGAAAGACGGACUUAGUGAUCCGGUGGUUCCGCAUGGAAGGGCCAUCGCUCAACGGAUAAAAGCUACCCCGGGGAUAACAGGCUUAUCUCCCCCAAGAGUUCACAUCGACGGGGAGGUUUGGCACCUCGAUGUCGGCUCAUCGCAUCCUGGGGCUGUAGUCGGUCCCAAGGGUUGGGCUGUUCGCCCAUUAAAGCGGUACGCGAGCUGGGUUCAGAACGUCGUGAGACAGUUCGGUCCCUAUCCGUCGUGGGCGUAGGAAAUUUGAGAGGAGCUGUCCUUAGUACGAGAGGACCGGGAUGGACAUACCUCUGGUGUACCAGUUGUCGUGCCAACGGCAUAGCUGGGUAGCUAUGUGUGGACGGGAUAAGUGCUGAAAGCAUCUAAGCAUGAAGCCCCCCUCAAGAUGAGAUUUCCCAACUUCGGUUAUAAGAUCCCUCAAAGAUGAUGAGGUUAAUAGGUUCGAGGUGGAAGCAUGGUGACAUGUGGAGCUGACGAAUACUAAUCGAUCGAAGACUUAAUCAA